UACGAAGGGUGCUAGCGUUGUUCGGAAUCACUGGGCGUAAAGCGCGCGUAGGCGGCUUUUCAAGUCAGGGGUGAAAUCCUUGGGCUCAACCCAAGGACUGCCUUUGAAACUGUAAAGCUGGAGUGUCGGAGGGGAUAGCGGAAUUCCUAAUGUAGUGGUGAAAUACGUAGAUAUUAGGAGGAACACCGGUGGCGAAGGCGGCUAUCUGGACGACAACUGACGCUGAGGCGCGAAAGCGUGGGGAUCAAACAGG
RNAcentral lists this ribosomal RNA (253 nucleotides) under uncultured bacterium. Its description in RNAcentral is "partial 16S ribosomal RNA". It matches the Rfam family "Bacterial small subunit ribosomal RNA", at positions 524 to 776 of the family's 1533-position model. The record is from RNAcentral.